RNAcentral lists this transfer RNA (85 nucleotides) under Cavenderia fasciculata. RNAcentral describes it as "tRNA-Tyr". It matches the Rfam family "tRNA". Rfam says of the family: Transfer RNA (tRNA) molecules are approximately 80 nucleotides in length. Their secondary structure includes four short double-helical elements and three loops (D, anti-codon, and T loops). The record is from RNAcentral. Lineage: Eukaryota; Evosea; Eumycetozoa; Acytosteliales; Cavenderiaceae.
GGCAGAAUGACUGAGCUGGCCAAAGGUGAUUGACUGUAAAUCAAUUGGAUUAAAAUCCGCAUAGGUUCGAAUCCUAUUUCUGCCA